Molecule: ribosomal RNA, 465 nt
Filed under: Vreelandella stevensii
Lineage: Bacteria; Pseudomonadati; Pseudomonadota; Gammaproteobacteria; Oceanospirillales; Halomonadaceae
Description: partial 16S ribosomal RNA
Rfam family: Bacterial small subunit ribosomal RNA
Source: RNAcentral
CCUACGGGCGGCUGCAGUGGGGAAUAUUGGACAAUGGGGGGAACCCUGAUCCAGCCAUGCCGCGUGUGUGAAGAAGGCCCUCGGGUUGUAAAGCACUUUCAGUGAGGAAGAACGCCUGGUGGUUAAUACCCAUCAGGAAAGACAUCACUCACAGAAGAAGCACCGGCUAACUCCGUGCCAGCAGCCGCGGUAAUACGGAGGGUGCGAGCGUUAAUCGGAAUUACUGGGCGUAAAGCGCGCGUAGGUGGCUUGAUAAGCCGGUUGUGAAAGCCCCGGGCUCAACCUGGGAACGGCAUCCGGAACUGUCGAGCUAGAGUGCAGCAGAGGAAGGUAGAAUUCCCGGUGUAGCGGUGAAAUGCGUAGAGAUCGGGAGGAAUACCAGUGGCGAAGGCGGCCUUCUGGACUGAAACUGACACUGAGGUGCGAAAGCGUGGGUAGCAAACAGGAUUAGAUACCCUGGUAGUC